Non-coding RNA from Angiostrongylus costaricensis, 73 nucleotides. Lineage: Eukaryota; Metazoa; Nematoda; Chromadorea; Rhabditida; Metastrongylidae. The record is from Rfam.
GCCUGCGUGGCCUAAUGGAUAAGGCGUCUGACUUCUAAUCAGAAGAUUGCCGGUUCAACCCCGGCCGCGGGCU